Molecule: long non-coding RNA, 3331 nt
Filed under: Canis lupus familiaris (dog)
Lineage: Eukaryota; Metazoa; Chordata; Mammalia; Carnivora; Canidae
Description: lncRNA (ENSCAFG00000058591.1)
Source: RNAcentral
UUUUUUUUUUUUUUUUUUUUGGUAUUAUGUUCAGCUAUGAACUAAGCUUGAUAAUCUGAUUUAAUCUUUGAGGUUUACCAGUUUUCUGAAAUGUAAUCAUUGCACCUUAAUGGUAAAUCAUGUCCUCGUGAACUAAUUAUAAAGAUAGGCUUCAGUGCUUCAAAUCUUCAAAAAUAGAGUUGGAUCCAACAGUUCCAUCUUUUCGUGAUACUAUUUAUGGAAAUAACAGUUCUAAGCCGGAGUUUGACUCCAUUUCUUUUCAAUAUUUUUUUUUUUCCCUUUUUCUGGGAUGCUAAAGAUAACAGAUAAUGGGCUGGUGAGUUGUGAUGAGAGAGAACCUUUUUUUGGCUUCUUACCCUUAUAUGGACACUCUAUCAUGAGAACAAGCUCAGUGAGUCUCGGUGACAUGAUUUGAAAAGUAAUUCAUAGGUGUCAACUUCAGCAUAAGAGGCUUAUGAUUCCAUGAUGGCGUUUUUAUUUAGAUAUGAAUGCUUUUUUCAUUGGGGAAUAUACUUUUGUCCUCAUAGCCUUAAUUCCAUUUUAACAUGGUUUCUUUAAUGAUUGAGAAAAGCGCAAACUAGCAAUAGACAGAAAUUUCAGUUAGUCUGAAUACUGUUAAUAGGUAGAGUGUAGUUAUUUUCUAAGAAGUUCAUUUGGUGAGGUGAAAAAAUUUUUUCCACUUUUUAAGUUUUAUUAAAACGUAACAGUGUUGUAGUUUGAGUUGUACAAUAUAGUGGUUGAACUGUACAUUACUCAGUGCUCUUUAUAACAAAUGUACUCCUUAAUCUCCAGAGGUGGAAAAAUAUUUGGAAAUUUUCCCCCUUAUUUUUGGAUGUAAUGCUCUGACAGUAUUAAGCAAUUUUUACUAUUUUCAUGAAACGAGUUUAGAGUUAGUCAUUAUGCAGAAUAGAUAAAACCCGUGCGUUGAGAAGUAAGGAGACUAGAGACUGUUUCUCAUGACCAAAUAGAGGCAUAGAGGUUUUGUGCCACCUUUUAAGAUGUGCGAUGUUUCAUUUUGGGAGAUUUUUUUCUGAGUUGGAUGUUGUCAAACUUUCUGUCAAGGAUAGAUACUAAGUAUUUUAGACAAUAUAAUCUUUUGCAUCCGUUCUGCCACUGUAGCAUGAAAUCUGCCAUAGACCAUACAUAAAUUAAUUGAGAAGUCUUCUGCAGUAAAACUGCCCAGCUGGAGAUAGUAGUUUGCUGAUAGCUUCUAGAUAUUAAGGACCAAAUCUUUAACAACUUUAAAGUGAAAGAGAUGUGUUUUUUGAUAUAUACAGUAUUACCAGGGUGAUCAUUUAGUCUUAGAAAUUGCUUAACUUGUAAGAAAUUGAUUUUGCCCCUUUUAGUCAAACAUGGUUGUAGUAUUAUGUCCACACAGGAUAAAAUAUAUUGCAUCCCGAAUCACCCUGAAAGAAGUGCAAAUUUAUCACUGCAGUACAGAUACUAGUAAAUCAUGGGGAUACUUUUGAAAGGGCAGCCCUAGUUUCCUUUUCUCCCCUAAGAGUAUUUCUUUCCUGACUUGUUACUCUGCCAGCAUUCUCAACUAUACAUUUUAGAAAGUUAAAAAGUUCUUCAUUUGGAUUGUGCCUGUGAUAUUAUGGACGAUUCUAAAGAAAGAUGGCCUUUGGUGGAAACUAGAGCUUUUCUCUGAAGUAAUAGAGAAGUAUUUGGUAAAGAGUAUGUGAUCUUUUAAAAGAUUUUAUUUAUUCAUGAGAGACAUAGAGGGAGAGGCAGAUUCCCAGUAGGGAACCUGAUGUAGUAUUUGAUCCCAGGACCCCUGGAUCAAACCUGAGCCAAAGGCAGAUGCUCAACCACUGAGCCACUCAGAUGCUCCCCAAAAGCGUCUCUACCAGCAAUAGGACAUAAAAUGGAACAAGAGCUUUGAAAUAAGUGAGGGUCCAAGGUUUGUUAUUGCAAGUUGCUAUUCCAAGGCAUCACGUUCACAUCAGAAUUUCAGUGCCUGCAUUUGAAUUGAAGUCUAAUGGGUACCAGUAAGACAAGGCCCAGGUAAUAGCAACAGGUGGUGAAGUUAAGUCUUCAGUAGUGCAUGCUUCAGGCUAACAACUAGGCACAGAGAAGACAGUACUGAAAUAAUUUCUGGAGUGGAGGUGAGGGAAAGAUGGCAAGUCUGAUAGGCAAGAGGUAGAAUCAGUAUGUCAAAUCUGAACUGAGGAACUAGAUAUCAGAAACACUUAACUCAGCUUUAGUGAGGCUGCAAGCUGGUGAUGAGGUUAAGCCACACCAGAGGUGCCACAUGGUCAGUAAACCCAUAGACUAACACGUUGCAUUAAGGACUCAACCCCACCAUACCUAGUGAGAGGCAGGGCUAAACAGCUUCUAACGAAAUGAAGUUCAAAUCGCUUGCUCUAUCCAACCUGAGUAAGAACAGUUCUGAUUGAAGAGUAAGUGUACAUAUGAAGCCUACACUAGUUUACAUUUUAAGAUCUUAUCUAUUCAUCCGACAGAGAGCACAUGUGGGGUGAAUAGCAGAGGGAGCGGGAGAAGUAGGUUCCCUGCUGAGCAGAAAGUCCAAUGUGGGGCUCCAUCCCAGGACCCCGGGAUCAUGACCCGAGCCGAAGGCAGACAGACACUUCACUGAUUGAGCCACCCAGGUACCCCUAGUUUACAAUCUAAUGUCAAUGUCUUAAUAGUAAAUAUUUCUUGAAUCUGCAACUUCUCAAUUUAAAUCAUAAGCUGACUAAAAUGAGAGCCUAGUAGGCCAGACUCUGCUGAUUAGUUUGAAGAAUAAAGAUAACCCCUGGCUGAAGUUGAUUACAGCCUUGUAGGAAAAACAUUGCAAAUGAGUUUUCAAGUAUGUGUGGCAUAUAGGGUUAGUAUAGGGUAAAGUCAGAGGGUUCAGGGAAGGCUUUCCAGAGGAUGUCAUAGCUUGGUUUCAACGAAUGGAUAACAGUUUACUAAGGCACAAAGAGCAGAGGGAAAUUUUAGGCAAAGGAAUUGGUUUGUGCAAGGGCAUGCUACAGCCAAACGGGUUCAGGAAACCAUAAAUAGUUCAGUAGAAGUACAGGAGAUGGAGGUUAGGCUGCAGGGACCAGAUCACAAAGACCCUUGUUUACUGUGUUGACCAAACUUUGAUUUCACCCUGCAAGCAGUGGGGAACCAUCAAACACACUAAAAUUGAGCCAUCAGACACAGUGUUCCUUCUGGUUAGCUUUAAAAAUCCCUUAACAUGAUGGUCCGUGUAUGUGAUUGCUUAAAACUGUGCAAGGACAGGGAGCCUGGCUGGCUCAAAGGAGCAUGUAACUUCAUCUUGGGGUCAUGAGUUCGAGCCCCACAAUGGGUAUAGAGCUUACUAAAAGAAAAAAACAAAAAA